CUCGGCGAAGAGGGUUAGUUCAGUGUGGUUUAGCUGUGGGGUACAGGGCAUCCCGGAAUUAAGCUAGGAGUUAGAGUCUCCUUACCGUUUGCAACGGUAUCUGCGCUUUUUUGGCCAGCAGAAGUGGACUUCGGGCGUGUAACUUUAACCUAAAACUUCAAAGUUUGGGUUGGUUGACGCUUUUAAAUUGAGUUAGGGAUUUUAGAAAUGAGGCCAGAAACAGUUAAAGUCUUGAUACUGGUUAAUUGGUGGGCGGUUAUUUUAAAUUUGUCUAAAUUGGUUAGGCGCGAAAGCUGACAGAUCUGACAGUGGUUGUAAAUAUAAGACGUCGUUGUAAUAUAGAAUAAGAAAAUUUGGUGUGAGAGAUCUUUGUGUGUCGAGUCAGUAAUGCACUGACUGCCUGCUGCUAUUUUUGGAGGUGUGUGUGUGAGUGAAAAUGCAAAUGAGUAAGCAGUGAACUGUUUAAGCCACAGUUGGUUUUACAAAUACUGCUGCAAACACUGUAGAGUGUGUGUUUAAAAUGCCAUUUAUGUUUAGUAAAGGACUAUAAAUAAAGUUUUGAGUUGCCGUAGGGGAUGCAUAGUAACUGACUGAGUUUGGAUGUAGAUAUAUAAAUAGAUUGAGUGCACUGUAUAUACUUAAGACUAACACAUCACUUUCAGUAGUAACUUUUCUCCAGCAUUAGUUGCUGGUGGGUUUUAUUUUUUCAAUUUCUUGUGUGUGCGGUGAGAAUUAAUGGAGGUUUUAAAAUGAAGUUAGUGUUAACACAUAGGAGUUGUUUCAAGGCAGCAUUUAGCUAUGAUGAAAUGUAUACAGGAGUAAUUGCUUAUAUGCUUAAACUUAAUUGAUUAAAGUGGUUGUUUUCUUUUGGAGUAGAUUAACUUGCAGCAGCGACAACUUGUGCACAGGAUGUUGAUGAUCAGAUAAGGGAAAAUAGAGCGAGCAACUGGACGUGAAAGCAGGGCUUAAAGAGUUCUAAAGGGAUGAGUAACGUUGAAGAGUAUAGAUAAAUACAAGUAAAUAAGUUAAGAAGAUAAUUAGGAUCAGGCUUUUGAUUAAAGAGUCCCAGAUAGGAUAAGUUAGGGAGAUGCAAGAAAAGGUGUUUUGUUUCCUUUGCAGAAGAUCUCGGCGACCACAGGAGGGGCGAGGAUCCUGGAGAUCUCGAGGUUCGAGACCACCAGAGAAGGGUCUGCGUGAGGACACAAUGUAUUGUGACCUCUGGUGUUCCAGAGGUCAAAAGGGGGAGUGUCGAGGAGGGAAAUUAUUUUACUGCUAUUGUUAAAUAAUUGUCAUUGCAUUAAUAAUAUAAUUUGCAGCAUGGAUAUUGCAUUCCAAGGUUUAAACAGUGUCUCUUUCAGAAAGACUGAGUUGCAGGCUGACAGGAAGUUGUAUGCAGAAGUGAAACCAGGAAGUUAUUUUGAGCCGCAGGCUAAGACGAGACUUUAACAAUGUAACAGAUAGCUUUAAGAAGGCCUUAAGAUCAGAUCAUUUUAUAUUAAGGUUUUAGUAGAGGUUCUUGAUUAAAACAUUUAUUUAGUAGAAGACAUACACAUAGUCUCAGUGAGCUUCUGGUCUGGUAAAAGGUCAGAAGUGCAACAGGUGAAUUGAGAAAGAGCAUGUGAGGUCAACACACACACACACACACACUUUAAAUUAGAUUUAUUUAGAGGAAGAGGUUAGUUAUGUUUGGUUGUAACUACAAAAUUGUCUCGGUAAAAGAGGAACCGUUUCUUGUUGUCUCGACAAGAAAGAGGAACAAUUCAUUUUAAGAUAAGAACGGAAAGUACCAAGCCAUGAAAAU
This is a long non-coding RNA of Astatotilapia calliptera (eastern happy), 1801 nucleotides long. The record is from Ensembl. NCBI's taxonomy places the organism in Eukaryota, Metazoa, Chordata, Actinopteri, Cichliformes, Cichlidae.